CUUCAACUAAUCCAGAGAAUUAGUGGCUCAGAAUCGUAACCCUGGGCACAUCAGUCUUUGAGGAGACUCCUGGGAACAUCCUUCAACGCUGAACUAACUGCUGAAUCUCAAGGCAUCUACUCAAGGUCACGGAAGAGUCUGAGAAAUGCUAAAAUCCACCCUGCUCCCGCACUCUCCUCCUAUCUCACAUGCUAAUGACGCGAACUAACUUCAUGAAACUUUAAACACACUGGAGUGACAGAACCGAGUCAGGAGUGAUUUCAAUGACUGAUGGUAAACGGAUACGACCAUCUUCAAAAGUUACUUUCAGCCACACAUAAGGAAAUCAUGGAAUCGUAGGAAAAGAAUGCUUCCAUCAAGCCUCAACUUCAGCCUUCAGAAAAAGGGUGCAGAGAUAGACCCAAGCUGUGCAAUGUACUGGUGUGCAUUUCAGACAAUACCCAGGCUAUUUCUAUUUCUAAUUUUUUUCUUUUUUUUUUUUCCUUGAGAAAUAUCAGAGGUACUUACAUGAAGGAAGACCCGACCAGAUAAGUCCUUGGGAUAAAUAUGUUUUUUCCUUUCUUAAGAGAGAGGGAGAGGAAAAAAAAAAAAACAAAAACAAACAAACAAAAAAAAAACCAACAAUAAUCUUUACUUCGUCCAGCCUCGAAGCGCUUCUCCACCUGAUUCAAACCUGCAGUCACGGCGGCGGCGACCCACACAGAAUCUUCAAAGUCAAUCCAAUAGCAGCCCGAAGAAGAUGUCUGGGUGUACGCGUGUGCUCAAGUGUCUGUGACUGCGAGCCGGGAGCUGCAGACGGAAGAGCGUUACUGCUGUGAGUUCAUGGUAAUGCGGGAAAGAGCAUCUGCAUCAGGAAUCAGUAAUAACCUCAUCUAUAAAAUGUGGAACACAGUGUGAUAUGCUCAAAACACUGGUAGGAGUUUGAAAUGAGCUCUUCAACAUAUACCUGCACAUAUACCACAGGACUGUGAAAGUGAUGAACUUUAGUAAAAGUCCUUCUUAAUAUUGUGGGAAUAAUUUCCACUUCUGUACCAUUAACUUCCCUGUUCAUUCAUAUUGUGGCUUUCAAAGCAGAAGAAAGUAGGUCAUCAGGGAAGAUGGGAAUCAAUUCAGAACGAGAACUCUCCUUAACUUUUACCUUUGAAAAAGUGGAAUGCUCUUUGACUUAAACUUCUACAACUUAAUGGUCAGGAAGCCUUUCUUUUCACAUGCAGGGAGCCUCCAGGCUACAUUCAGUCUCCAUCGCUAUAUGGUUCCUUCUGCUUGUGAGCAGUUGCUGAGAAGGCACUUGGAAACUCCAAGCCCAUCCUCUUUUCACCCCAUUUGACCUUUGGAAUGCAGUUGUCAGCCAAGAAGACAUUGAUAUCCUCAGUCUCCUGCUAGCUUGAAUUCUUGAGGGCAUUGCCUGCUCAGAUUGUCUCCUGAUGUCAUUCCAAAUGUCUGAUGGCCAUCUAUGGCAACUGGGCUGGGCACAGGCUUCCUGGGAAGGGGGAGCCCAUGGAAUGCCUAAUGCAGGGUUCUGUUCGAGAGACCCGGAAACAGAUUUCUGCUGGAUGUGUGAUCAGCGUCACUGCUGUGUCUAAGGAACUGUACCACUUGAAAAACGAAAGCCAUCGUCACCUUUGCAAUUUUUUUGUUUUAAUAAAGUCUUAUGUGGGAUGUUAAUAUUUCCUAUUGAUUUCAUGAUGGCAACAACUGUAUUUUACAGGAAAAAAUAACAGAUUAAGAACAUUAAUAAAACUUUUACAUGUGGCAAUUA
Molecule: long non-coding RNA, 1759 nt
Organism: Jaculus jaculus (lesser Egyptian jerboa)
Lineage: Eukaryota; Metazoa; Chordata; Mammalia; Rodentia; Dipodidae
Exons: 3
Source: RefSeq, a predicted model, not a curated record